GAUGAACGCUGGCGGCGUGCCUAAUACAUGCAAGUCGAGCGAACGGACGAGAAGCUUGCUUCUCUGAUGUUAGCGGCGGACGGGUGAGUAACACGUGGAUAACCUACCUAUAAGACUGGGAUAACUUCGGGAAACCGGAGCUAAUACCGGAUAAUAUUUUGAACCGCAUGGUUCAAAAGUGAAAGACGGUCUUGCUGUCACUUAUAGAUGGAUCCGCGCUGCAUUAGCUAGUUGGUAAGGUAACGGCUUACCAAGGCAACGAUGCAUAGCCGACCUGAGAGGGUGAUCGGCCACACUGGAACUGAGACACGGUCCAGACUCCGACGGGAGGCAGCAGUAGGGAAUCUUCCGCAAUGGGCGAAAGCCUGACGGAGCAACGCCGCGUGAGUGAUGAAGGUCUUCGGAUCGUAAAACUCUGUUAUUAGGGAAGAACAUAUGUGUAAGUAACUGUGCACAUCUUGACGGUACCGAAUCAGAAAGCCACGGCUAACUACGU
This 496-nucleotide ribosomal RNA is filed under the name uncultured bacterium. RNAcentral describes it as "partial 16S ribosomal RNA". It matches the Rfam family "Bacterial small subunit ribosomal RNA", at positions 28 to 506 of the family's 1533-position model. The record is from RNAcentral.